Molecule: ribosomal RNA, 2931 nt
Filed under: Escherichia coli
Lineage: Bacteria; Pseudomonadati; Pseudomonadota; Gammaproteobacteria; Enterobacterales; Enterobacteriaceae
Description: bacterial LSU rRNA
Rfam family: Bacterial large subunit ribosomal RNA
Source: RNAcentral
GGGUUGUGAGGUUAAGCGACUAAGCGUACACGGUGGAUGCCCUGGCAGUCAGAGGCGAUGAAGGACGUGCUAAUCUGCGAUAAGCGUCGGUAAGGUGAUAUGAACCGUUAUAACCGGCGAUUUCCGAAUGGGGAAACCCAGUGUGUUUCGACACACUAUCAUUAACUGAAUCCAUAGGUUAAUGAGGCGAACCGGGGGAACUGAAACAUCUAAGUACCCCGAGGAAAAGAAAUCAACCGAGAUUCCCCCAGUAGCGGCGAGCGAACGGGGAGCAGCCCAGAGCCUGAAUCAGUAUGUGUGUUAGUGGAAGCGUCUGGAAAGGCGCGCGAUACAGGGUGACAGCCCCGUACACAAAAAUGCACAUAUUGUGAGCUCGAUGAGUAGGGCGGGACACGUGGUAUCCUGUCUGAAUAUGGGGGGACCAUCCUCCAAGGCUAAAUACUCCUGACUGACCGAUAGUGAACCAGUACCGUGAGGGAAAGGCGAAAAGAACCCCGGCGAGGGGAGUGAAAAAGAACCUGAAACCGUGUACGUACAAGCAGUGGGAGCACGCUUAGGCGUGUGACUGCGUACCUUUUGUAUAAUGGGUCAGCGACUUAUAUUCUGUAGCAAGGUUAACCGAAUAGGGGAGCCGAAGGGAAACCGAGUCUUAACUGGGCGUUAAGUUGCAGGGUAUAGACCCGAAACCCGGUGAUCUAGCCAUGGGCAGGUUGAAGGUUGGGUAACACUAACUGGAGGACCGAACCGACUAAUGUUGAAAAAUUAGCGGAUGACUUGUGGCUGGGGGUGAAAGGCCAAUCAAACCGGGAGAUAGCUGGUUCUCCCCGAAAGCUAUUUAGGUAGCGCCUCGUGAAUUCAUCUCCGGGGGUAGAGCACUGUUUCGGCAAGGGGUCAUCCCGACUUACCAACCCGAUGCAAACUGCGAAUACCGGAGAAUGUUAUCACGGGAGACACACGGCGGGUGCUAACGUCCGUCGUGAAGAGGGAAACAACCCAGACCGCCAGCUAAGGUCCCAAAGUCAUGGUUAAGUGGGAAACGAUGUGGGAAGGCCCAGACAGCCAGGAUGUUGGCUUAGAAGCAGCCAUCAUUUAAAGAAAGCGUAAUAGCUCACUGGUCGAGUCGGCCUGCGCGGAAGAUGUAACGGGGCUAAACCAUGCACCGAAGCUGCGGCAGCGACACUAUGUGUUGUUGGGUAGGGGAGCGUUCUGUAAGCCUGUGAAGGUGUGCUGUGAGGCAUGCUGGAGGUAUCAGAAGUGCGAAUGCUGACAUAAGUAACGAUAAAGCGGGUGAAAAGCCCGCUCGCCGGAAGACCAAGGGUUCCUGUCCAACGUUAAUCGGGGCAGGGUGAGUCGACCCCUAAGGCGAGGCCGAAAGGCGUAGUCGAUGGGAAACAGGUUAAUAUUCCUGUACUUGGUGUUACUGCGAAGGGGGGACGGAGAAGGCUAUGUUGGCCGGGCGACGGUUGUCCCGGUUUAAGCGUGUAGGCUGGUUUUCCAGGCAAAUCCGGAAAAUCAAGGCUGAGGCGUGAUGACGAGGCACUACGGUGCUGAAGCAACAAAUGCCCUGCUUCCAGGAAAAGCCUCUAAGCAUCAGGUAACAUCAAAUCGUACCCCAAACCGACACAGGUGGUCAGGUAGAGAAUACCAAGGCGCUUGAGAGAACUCGGGUGAAGGAACUAGGCAAAAUGGUGCCGUAACUUCGGGAGAAGGCACGCUGAUAUGUAGGUGAAGUCCCUCGCGGAUGGAGCUGAAAUCAGUCGAAGAUACCAGCUGGCUGCAACUGUUUAUUAAAAACACAGCACUGUGCAAACACGAAAGUGGACGUAUACGGUGUGACGCCUGCCCGGUGCCGGAAGGUUAAUUGAUGGGGUUAGCCGCAAGGCGAAGCUCUUGAUCGAAGCCCCGGUAAACGGCGGCCGUAACUAUAACGGUCCUAAGGUAGCGAAAUUCCUUGUCGGGUAAGUUCCGACCUGCACGAAUGGCGUAAUGAUGGCCAGGCUGUCUCCACCCGAGACUCAGUGAAAUUGAACUCGCUGUGAAGAUGCAGUGUACCCGCGGCAAGACGGAAAGACCCCGUGAACCUUUACUAUAGCUUGACACUGAACAUUGAGCCUUGAUGUGUAGGAUAGGUGGGAGGCUUUGAAGUGUGGACGCCAGUCUGCAUGGAGCCGACCUUGAAAUACCACCCUUUAAUGUUUGAUGUUCUAACGUUGACCCGUAAUCCGGGUUGCGGACAGUGUCUGGUGGGUAGUUUGACUGGGGCGGUCUCCUCCUAAAGAGUAACGGAGGAGCACGAAGGUUGGCUAAUCCUGGUCGGACAUCAGGAGGUUAGUGCAAUGGCAUAAGCCAGCUUGACUGCGAGCGUGACGGCGCGAGCAGGUGCGAAAGCAGGUCAUAGUGAUCCGGUGGUUCUGAAUGGAAGGGCCAUCGCUCAACGGAUAAAAGGUACUCCGGGGAUAACAGGCUGAUACCGCCCAAGAGUUCAUAUCGACGGCGGUGUUUGGCACCUCGAUGUCGGCUCAUCACAUCCUGGGGCUGAAGUAGGUCCCAAGGGUAUGGCUGUUCGCCAUUUAAAGUGGUACGCGAGCUGGGUUUAGAACGUCGUGAGACAGUUCGGUCCCUAUCUGCCGUGGGCGCUGGAGAACUGAGGGGGGCUGCUCCUAGUACGAGAGGACCGGAGUGGACGCAUCACUGGUGUUCGGGUUGUCAUGCCAAUGGCACUGCCCGGUAGCUAAAUGCGGAAGAGAUAAGUGCUGAAAGCAUCUAAGCACGAAACUUGCCCCGAGAUGAGUUCUCCCUGACUCCUUGAGAGUCCUGAAGGAACGUUGAAGACGACGACGUUGAUAGGCCGGGUGUGUAAGCGCAGCGAUGCGUUGAGCUAACCGGUACUAAUGAACCGUGAGGCUUAACCUUACAACGCCGAAGGUGUUU